RNAcentral lists this ribosomal RNA (234 nucleotides) under uncultured bacterium. RNAcentral's name for it is "partial 16S ribosomal RNA". It matches the Rfam family "Bacterial small subunit ribosomal RNA", at positions 103 to 334 of the family's 1533-position model. The record is from RNAcentral.
CGGGUGAGUAACACGUAAGUAAUCUGCCUUCGAGUGGGGAAUACCUUCGGGAAACCGAAGAUAAUACCGCAUAAUGCAGCGGCACCGCAAGGUGACAGUUGUUAAAGGAGCAAUCCGCUUGAAGAGGAGCUUGCGGCAGAUUAGCUAGUUGGUAAGGUAACGGCUUACCAAGGCUACGAUCUGUAUCCGGUCUAAGAGGACGGUCGGACACACUGACACUGAAUAACGGGUCAG